CGCACAGGCUCCGCGCCGGGCUCUCCAGCCGGGCAGGCGCACGAGGGACACCUGCGAACCUGGAGGUGGCGGAGGCUGCGAACCCGGCGGCGCGGCCAAACCUGCGCUGGCUGCCUGGGCCUCCUGGGCCAGGAGCUGGCGCUGGGGGCGGCGGCGGUGUGGGGCCUCCUGGACGUGUUGGCGGAGGUGGCUUCAGUCCCGCGGAGCCCAGGCUUCAGGCUUUCACCAGUUCUCGGGAUGCCCAUAGGGAUGGGUGAAGCCCGCCUGGCCUGUGGUGCUUCCCAGUGGCCGUCAUCUCACUAG
This 303-nucleotide long non-coding RNA is filed under the name Theropithecus gelada (gelada). RNAcentral describes it as "lncRNA (ENSTGEG00000014113.1)". Lineage: Eukaryota; Metazoa; Chordata; Mammalia; Primates; Cercopithecidae. The record is from RNAcentral.